RNAcentral lists this ribosomal RNA (440 nucleotides) under uncultured bacterium. Its description in RNAcentral is "partial 16S ribosomal RNA". It matches the Rfam family "Bacterial small subunit ribosomal RNA", at positions 339 to 795 of the family's 1533-position model. The record is from RNAcentral.
CUACGGGGUGCUCCAGUGGGGAAUAUUGCACAAUGGAGGAAACUCUGAUGCAGCAACGCCGCGUGGAGGAUGACACUUUUCGGAGCGUAAACUCCUUUUAUAUAGGAAGAAGAUGACGGUACUAUAUGAAUAAGCGCCGGCUAACUCCGUGCCAGCAGCCGCGGGUAAUACGGAGGGCGCAAGCGUUACUCAGAAUCACUGGGCGUAAAGAGCGUGUAGGCGGAUUAAAAAGUCAGAAGUGAAAUCCUAUAGCUUAACUAUAGAACUGCUUCUGAAACUCUUAAUCUAGAAUAUGGGAGAGGUAGAUGGAAUUUCUGGUGUAGGGAUAAAAUCCGUAGAGAUCAGAAGGAAUACCGAUUGCGAAGGCGAUCUACUAGAACAUUAUUGACGCUGAGACGCGAAAGCGUGGGGAGCAAACAGGAUUAGAUACCCCGGUAGUC